Molecule: ribosomal RNA, 253 nt
Filed under: uncultured bacterium
Lineage: Bacteria
Description: partial 16S ribosomal RNA
Rfam family: Bacterial small subunit ribosomal RNA
Source: RNAcentral
UACGAAGGGGGCUAGCGUUGUUCGGAUUUACUGGGCGUAAAGCGCACGUAGGCGGAUUGGUCAGUUAGGGGUGAAAUCCUGGAGCUCAACUCCAGAACUGCCUUUAAUACUGCCAGUCUCGAGUCCGGAAGAGGUAAGUGGAACUCCUAGUGUAGAGGUGGAAUUCGUAGAUAUUAGGAAGAACACCAGUGGCGAAGGCGGCUUACUGGUCCGGAUCUGACGCUGAGGCGCGAAAGCGUGGGGAGCAAACAGG